GCACCAUUGGAUGAGCCUGCACUUGAUUAGUUUGUUGGUAGGGUAAUGGCCUACCAAGACUGUGAUCAAUAGCUGAUUUGAGAGGAUGAUCAGCCACAUUGGGACUGAGACACGGCCCAAACUCCUACGGGAGGCAGCAGUAGGGAAUCUUGCACAAUGGAGGAAACUCUGAUGCAGCGAUGCCGCGUGAGUAAAGAAGGCCUUUGGGUUGUAAAGCUCUUUCGUCGGGGAAGAAAAUGACUGUACCCGAAUAAGAAGU
RNAcentral lists this ribosomal RNA (259 nucleotides) under uncultured bacterium KC105. RNAcentral describes it as "partial 16S rRNA". It matches the Rfam family "Bacterial small subunit ribosomal RNA", at positions 215 to 491 of the family's 1533-position model. Lineage: Bacteria; Pseudomonadati; Pseudomonadota; Alphaproteobacteria. The record is from RNAcentral.